This 253-nucleotide ribosomal RNA is filed under the name uncultured bacterium. RNAcentral's name for it is "partial 16S ribosomal RNA". It matches the Rfam family "Bacterial small subunit ribosomal RNA", at positions 524 to 776 of the family's 1533-position model. The record is from RNAcentral.
UACGUAGGGCGCAAGCGUUGUCCGGAAUUAUUGGGCGUAAAGAGCUCGUAGGCGGCUUGUCGCGUCGAUUGUGAAAGCCCGGGGCUUAACUCCGGGUCUGCAGUCGAUACGGGCAGGCUAGAGUGUGGUAGGGGAGAUCGGAAUUCCUGGUGUAGCGGUGAAAUGCGCAGAUAUCAGGAGGAACACCGGUGGCGAAGGCGGAUCUCUGGGCCAUUACUGACGCUGAGGCGCGAAAGCUAGGGGAGCAAACGGG